Molecule: ribosomal RNA, 119 nt
Filed under: Brachypodium distachyon (stiff brome)
Lineage: Eukaryota; Viridiplantae; Streptophyta; Magnoliopsida; Poales; Poaceae
Source: RNAcentral
GGAUGCGGUCAUACCAGCACUAAAGCACCGGAUCCCAUCAGAACUCCGAAGUUAAGCGUGCUUGGGCGAGAGAAGUACUAGGAUGGGUGACCGCCUGGGAAGUUCUCAUGUUGCAUUCC